AACUUUUGGCAACGGAUCUCUUGGCUCUCGCAUCGAUGAAGAACGCAGCGAAUCGCGAUAUGUAAUGUGAAUUGCAGAUCUACAGUGAAUCAUCGAAUCUUUGAACGCACCUUGCGCUCCUCGGUGUUCCGAGGAGCAUGCCUGUUUGAGUGUCAGUAAAUUCUCAACCCCUCUCGAUUUGCUUCGAGCGGGUGCUUGGAUGUUGGGGGCUGCCGGAGACACUGGAUUCGUCCAGGACUCGGGCUCCUCUUAAAUGAAUCGGCUCGCGGUCGACUUUCGACUUUGCAUGACAAGGCCUUUGGCGUGAUAAUGAUCGCCGUUCGCCGAAGUGCAAGACAGAAUGGUCCCGUGCCUCUAAUGCGUCGACGCCUCUAGGGGCGUCUUCCUCAUUGACGUUUGACCUCAAAUCAGGUAGGACUACCCGCUGAACUUAAGCAUAUCAAUAAGCGGAGGCU
This 455-nucleotide unclassified non-coding RNA is filed under the name uncultured Suillus. RNAcentral's name for it is "sequence contains ITS2". The stretch from base 1 to 155 matches the Rfam family "5.8S ribosomal RNA". Lineage: Eukaryota; Fungi; Basidiomycota; Agaricomycetes; Boletales; Suillaceae. The record is from RNAcentral.